CGCAUCUUGCACCCUUUGGUAUUCCGAAGGGCACGUCUGUCUGAGUGUCGUAAACUCCUCAACCCGUCCUCCCCUUGUGGCCAAUGGGCUUGGACAUGGGGGCUUGUCGGGCCGUAUACGGCCCGACUCCCCUCGAAUGCAUUAGCGAGCCGUGAGACACUGCCGUGGACGUGAUAGCCUUUCCCGUCGCCGGCAGCGCCCGUUCGGCAUGCUGCCAGUCGUCCCGCCCAAGACAACCUCCGACGACUUGACUUCAGAUCAGGCAGAACUACCCGCUGAACUUAA
Molecule: unclassified non-coding RNA, 285 nt
Filed under: Clavariaceae sp.
Lineage: Eukaryota; Fungi; Basidiomycota; Agaricomycetes; Agaricales; Clavariaceae
Description: partial contains 5.8S ribosomal RNA, internal transcribed spacer 2, and large subunit ribosomal RNA
Source: RNAcentral